RNAcentral lists this ribosomal RNA (379 nucleotides) under marine Metazoa environmental sample. RNAcentral describes it as "SSU rRNA". It matches the Rfam family "Eukaryotic small subunit ribosomal RNA", at positions 587 to 972 of the family's 1831-position model. The record is from RNAcentral. Lineage: Eukaryota; Metazoa.
AGCUCCAAUAGCGUAUAUUAAAGUUGUUGCAGUUAAAAAGCUCGUAGUUGGAUUUCGGAGUGGGCCCGUUGGUCCGCCGCAAGGUGUGUUACUGACUGGUCUGCUCUUCUUCGCAAAGACUGCGUGUGCUCUUUGUUGAGUGUGCGUAGGAUUUACGACGUUUACUUUGAAAAAAUUAGAGUGUUCAAAGCAGGCUAUUGCUUGAAUACAUGAGCAUGGAAUAAUGGAAUAGGACUUUGGUCCCAUUUUGUUGGUUUCUAGGACCGAAGUAAUGAUUAAGAGGGACAAUUGGGGGCAUCCGUAUUUCGUUGUCAGAGGUGAAAUUCUUGGAUUUACGAAAGACGAACAACUGCGAAAGCACUUGCCAAGAGUGUUUUCA